AACAGAGAAGUAAAAAAAUUUACAAAUAGUUUCGACCUAAAAAUAGAGUAUCUCCCUGU
RNAcentral lists this transfer RNA (59 nucleotides) under Calophya schini. RNAcentral's name for it is "tRNA-Arg". Lineage: Eukaryota; Metazoa; Arthropoda; Insecta; Hemiptera; Calophyidae. The record is from RNAcentral.